Molecule: ribosomal RNA, 395 nt
Filed under: Ruditapes sp.
Lineage: Eukaryota; Metazoa; Mollusca; Bivalvia; Venerida; Veneridae
Description: partial small subunit ribosomal RNA
Rfam family: Eukaryotic small subunit ribosomal RNA
Source: RNAcentral
AUUCCAGCUCCAAUAGCGUAUAUUAAAGUUGCUGCAGUUAAAAAGCUCGUAGUUGAAUCUCGGGUGCAGGCUUGCGGUCCGUCUCGCGGCGGUCACUGCUCGUCCUGGCCUCCACGCCGGCGUACCGUCCCUUGGUGCUCUUGACUGAGUGUCUCGGGCGGCCGGAACGUUUACUUUGAAGAAAUUAGAGUGCUCAAAGCAGGCCUUGGCCGCCUGCAUAAUGGUGCAUGGAAUAAUGGAAUAGGACCUCGGUUCUAUUUUGUUGGUUUUCGGAGCUCGAGGUAAUGAUUAACAGGGACUGACGGGGGCAUUCGUAUUGCGGCGCUAGAGGUGAAAUUCUUAGACCGUCGCAAGACGAACUACAGCGAAAGCAUUUGCCAAGCAUGUUUUCAUUA